This 511-nucleotide ribosomal RNA is filed under the name uncultured bacterium. Its description in RNAcentral is "bacterial SSU rRNA". It matches the Rfam family "Bacterial small subunit ribosomal RNA", at positions 15 to 518 of the family's 1533-position model. The record is from RNAcentral.
GAUUCUGGCUCAGGAUGAACGCUAGCGAUAGGCCUAACACAUGCAAGUCGAGGGGCAGCAUAGAGUAGCAAUACUUGAUGGCGACCGGCGCACGGGUGAGUAACACGUAUGCAACCUACCUACAUCAGGGGAAUAACCCGGAGAAAUUCGGACUAAUACCGCGUAAUACAGGGAUGCCGCAUGGCAAUAUUUGUUAAAGAUUUAUCGGAUGUAGAUGGGCAUGCGUUCCAUUAGCUGGUUGGUAAGGUAACGGCUUACCAAGGCAACGAUGGAUAGGGGAACUGAGAGGUUUGUCCCCCACACUGGAACUGAGACACGGACCAGACUCCUACGGGAGGCAGCAGUGAGGAAUAUUGGUCAAUGGACGAGAGUCUGAACCAGCCAAAUCGCGUGAAGGAAAGACUGCCCUACGGGUUGUAAACUUCUUUUGUACAGGAAUAAAAGACAUUACGUGUAAUGUAUUGCAUGUACUGUACGAAUAAGCAUCGGCUAACUCCGUGCCAGCAGCCGC